UGGCGGAUCUGUUUGAUCCGCUGGCCUCCCUUACCAAUGAUAGAGCCAGCCAGCUGUUGAUGGGGUAGAGAGAGGAGAAUGAGAGGGGUCGGGAGGAAAGAAAAACAAGCUUUGUAUGUUGUGUUGCAGUCAUUUACUCACAUCCUUUGGGAUCGUCACUUGUGUGGUGAUGACGGGUCCUCCCAUGUCAUUAUAGGAGCCACGUCCACCUGAUGGCAAGAGGGAGAGGGGAAGACCAAGGCAGACAAACAGGGAAAGAAGAGGUGUAGAAACGGAGGGAAAAUCCCAGAUGACUGGCCGGAGAAUUGUCAGCACAAAUAUAUGGAUGAUGCAGCAGCCUCUUCCAUGGAGUAGACUCAACUAAAAGCCACCCAGUUUUCAUCCAUAAGCCAGACUCCUCCUCCUUCCCUCCCCCCUUCC
Molecule: long non-coding RNA, 420 nt
Organism: Sebastes umbrosus (honeycomb rockfish)
Lineage: Eukaryota; Metazoa; Chordata; Actinopteri; Perciformes; Sebastidae
Exons: 3
Source: RefSeq, a predicted model, not a curated record